This is a long non-coding RNA of Setaria italica (foxtail millet), 1941 nucleotides long. RefSeq lists it as uncharacterized. Lineage: Eukaryota; Viridiplantae; Streptophyta; Magnoliopsida; Poales; Poaceae. The transcript is spliced from 8 exons. The record is from RefSeq and is a predicted model, not a curated record.
CCCGCCUCAACUUUGCUAGCUCCGCCCUGUGCCGCCGUACUGCCGCCUCGCUUGCUCUCUCCGCUCCGAUCCAUACGUUGACGUCGAGUGAGUAGGCAAGUCCGCCGGCGGAUUCCUGAGCCCUUGGAGGUACCUGAUACUCUUGUGUUUUGGUUAGCAUGACAAAGAGGAAGAACAAUGAUCCCUUGCAUGAACCUGCUAAAAAACACAAAGUUCGUAGAAGGAUGGCAACGAAGAACAAUGAUUUGUUACAUGCGGCUUUCAGGGAAGGAAAGACGAUGAGUCUCCUAGAAAAAUCAUAAUUGGGCGAUCUGAAAAUCUUACUUCUAGAGAAAAUAAGUUGUUUGAUAGCAUUGUGGACCUAGUGACAAAAGAAAAAAGAUGACUGUGUCUUCCUUAGCAGCAGUAGCCUUCUAUUGGAAGCUAGAAGUACCCUUUUGACGGAGUUUGACAAUGACAAGGAGAUUCUGCAAUUGUGGUUGAAAUCCUGGAGAGGCCCAAGAGUUGAAUUUCUCAUUCAUCCAGUUUAUAGUUUUGGAACAGCAACGACCUCUGCCAAAAACCCGCUACUUUCUUUCUCAGAUAAUUUUGUGGAUUCAGAGAAUUGCAGAAUCAUUAAAUCAACCCUUACUGAGCUUGUUCAACAUAUUUGUUUUAUGGCAAUGGAUAAGACUACACGAGGAUUGGAUCAAGUUAAGACUUCAAAAACUGUUGAACUGUUAGAAGCCAAUGUGCUCAUUGCAACCAAAUUUCAGAAUUUGGGCAUAUUGCAUACAGCUCUAUUCAAAGGGUCAGCUAUUCAUUUUGUGCUAGAUGACUUGAUGGAUUUGUCUACUUGGCAUGGCUUCAGCUCUUGUCUGUCAGACUUCAAGAAGAGGAAUGUACCUAUGUUUUCAGGAAGACUUCUUGGAUCUGUCCCUCUAGGCACAAUGGCUAGCUACCCUAAUGAAAGAUACAAGAUUCUAAUCAGGUCUCUUCUUAAAGAAAUGGUUGGAUUGCAUAGAAAUGAGCAUUGCUUCAGUAACAUUUCUGAAUCUGAUAUAUGUCUUCGGGUACGACUGUUAAACUUUCAUGGAAGCUAAAGCUAUUGGAAUAUGAUAAUGUAAAAGCUAGGUCCAACCGUAGGUCCAUUAGAGCUAUCAUUGCAGAUAUGUUCAAGGGUUUAACUCUACCCAGUGAUUUAAAGGCCCUGUUAGAGUUGCUAGAUUGUGACUAUUUAGUACCAGGUGACUAUCUGUGCACUCAUUGCUCACUAAUGGAUGAUAUCAAUAAGAGUCACAUGAUCGGUGAUAUACAUAUGGAGUUUACUUCAAAUCUAACAAAUAGGGAUAAAGCGAUAGUGGCUGAACCCCUGUAUCACUAUAUAAAGAGAUGGAAAGAUUUGAUUAGGCCAAACACAUUGCUUAGUGGCAUGUUUAAGCACAAGUUUGAUGUGGGAAAAGAUGAUACUGAAGAAGUUGAAGGUGGUACCGAUCCUCGUCUAUUGAUGGCGAGAGGUGUUGCGGAACUUAUUUAACUUUGUUGGCUAUUGCAUCUUCCUUAUGAGGUGAACAUCCAGUUCAAGGAUCAGGGUGUCAAAAUUCAGCGGCGGGAGAUCGUCAGGAUCAUCACCUCUGAAUUGCCAGACAUACUGCAUAUAUUACAGAAUGAGCUACGUGCUAUUUUUGGAGAUAAAUGGUCAUGGGUUGAGAUAUUUCGAUAAAAUAAUUGUUCUUAGAUUAUAACUGAAAUUAAUUAAUAUGAUGAUCUUAAAUAUGUCUUUUUUGCAGGUUCGAGAGGUAUUUAGUUAUCAGUAAUGCUACGGCUACGUUCUUGCUGCCGCUGAUGGCUGCAAUACUCUGUUUAAUGUGUUACGUGUCUCUGCUGUAUAAGUGGCUCUAGCAUGCAAAAUACUGUAUAUGAGCUUGUACAGCUUACUCUUUAAUUAUUAGGAAUUAAGUA